GCCAGAAAUCAGAAAAACAAUGUCUUAAGUUUUGAAAAAGCAUUUUGACAUGUAUUUUUUCCCCAAUGUUUCUUGGCAGGAAUGAAGCCAGUACCAUCCAAUUAUUUCUCCACUCAUAUCAGAUUAAUCUACAGACCUCCACGGGCAAAAUUCUUUCUUCUAGAUGCAUAUUUAAUAAGCAAAACUAACACUUUAUCACAAAGUAACUUACAUUUUAAGGUUGACGUGAAUUUAAAUCAUGUUCAAAUCCUGUUAAAGCUGACAAACCCCUGAGUUUGCAAUGCAACAAAAUGUUGUAAGACGUACAGUAUCAAGUCUAGUUAGCACACCAGAAUAAUGCUAUAUUAGAUAGACUGUGUUUAGGCAGUGCUAAAUACUACAAAAAUAAAAAAGCAAGACAUUACAGAGCACAAAUUACACUGAUUAAUAUUAAAUAAUACAAAAUAUCCAUUUUCUAUCUGAUUUAUCCAAUGCAGGGUCAUGGGGGAGCCGGAGCCUAUCCCAGGAAGCAAUGGGGGAAAGGCACGAUAUUCUCUGGAUGGGAUGCCAGUUUUCCCAAUUUCCCAAUUUACCUACCAAUUCCCAGGCACAGCACUGCAGGAAGAGGAGUUAAGGAGGGAAUGCCUGAGGCCGAGGAGCUCCCCAGAGUCUGGACUGGAAACAUGGGGCUGGAACACGAGAACAGCAGUCAUACCAUGAAGGUCGCAGGUCCCGGAAAAGACUAAAAAAAGAACCAUCAGGAAUGCACCUGUGGAGCUUGGCAGCUCCCAUCUCUGUAAAGACCUCCACAUACUCCAGAACUGUCAGCCAGGUGAGGAGCCUCUGCUGGGAGAGAGACUGGA
Molecule: long non-coding RNA, 842 nt
Organism: Lepisosteus oculatus (spotted gar)
Lineage: Eukaryota; Metazoa; Chordata; Actinopteri; Semionotiformes; Lepisosteidae
Source: RefSeq, a predicted model, not a curated record